RNAcentral lists this ribosomal RNA (492 nucleotides) under uncultured bacterium. RNAcentral describes it as "partial 16S ribosomal RNA". It matches the Rfam family "Bacterial small subunit ribosomal RNA", at positions 29 to 507 of the family's 1533-position model. The record is from RNAcentral.
AGUGAACGCUGGCGGUAGGCCUAACACAUGCAAGUCGAACGGCAGCACAGUAAGAGCUUGCUCUUACGGGUGGCGAGUGGCGGACGGGUGAGGAAUACAUCGGAAUCUACUUUUUCGUGGGGGAUAACGUAGGGAAACUUACGCUAAUACCGCAUACGACCUACGGGUGAAAGCAGGGGAUCUUCGGACCUUGCGCGAUUGAAUGAGCCGAUGUCGGAUUAGCUAGUUGGCGGGGUAAAGGCCCACCAAGGCGACGAUCCGUAGCUGGUCUGAGAGGAUGAUCAGCCACACUGGAACUGAGACACGGUCCAGACUCCUACGGGAGGCAGCAGUGGGGAAUAUUGGACAAUGGGCGCAAGCCUGAUCCAGCCAUACCGCGUGGGUGAAGAAGGCCUCCGGGUUGUAAAGCCCUUUUGUUGGGAAAGAAAAGCAGCAGGUUAAUACCCCGCUGUUCUGACGGUGCCCAAAGAAUAAGCACCGGCUAACUUCGUG